GAGAGAUGCUGAGAUCCAAAAUCAAUAUAAUAAUGAGGUUACCCCUUUUGCCCAAAAUGAUAGAACCAUCUCAGGACCAGGAGUGGAGAGCAACCAACUGUUAAGGCAACCUCUCGAAUUCUCAACCUUGGAUCGAUACUAUGAAGAAUCAUCCAAAUUUUCCUCCUCGAUUAUAUGCCAAGGAGAACUCUUGGAACCUACACGAUCCCCUCAUCCUCAUUUGAGUCGACGCUCCUCAUCCUCAA
RNAcentral lists this long non-coding RNA (245 nucleotides) under Elaeis guineensis (African oil palm). RNAcentral's name for it is "long non-coding RNA (EGUI_LNC064859)". The record is from RNAcentral. Lineage: Eukaryota; Viridiplantae; Streptophyta; Magnoliopsida; Arecales; Arecaceae.